CCUGAUCCAGCAAUGCCGCGUGUGUGAAGAAGGCCUUCGGGUUGUAAAGCACUUUUGUCCGGAAAGAAAUCCUUGGCUCUAAUACAGUCGGGGGAUGACGGUACCGGAAGAAUAAGCACCGGCUAACUACGUGCCAGCAGCCGCGGUAAUACGUAGGGUGCGAGCGUUAAUCGGAAUUACUGGGCGUAAAGCGUGCGCAGGCGGUUUGCUAAGACCGAUGUGAAAUCCCCGGGCUCAACCUGGGAACUGCAUUGGUGACUGGCAGGCUAGAGUAUGGCAGAGGGGGGUAGAAUUCCACGUGUAGCAGUGAAAUGCGUAGAGAUGUGGAGGAAUACCGAUGGCGAAGGCAGCCCCCUGGGCCAAUACUGACGCUCAUGCACGAAAGCGUGGGGAGCAAACAGGAUUAGAUACCCUGGUAGUCCACGCCCUAAACGAUGUCAACUAGUUGUUGGGGAUUCAUUUCCUUAGUAACGUAGCUAACGCGUGAAGUUGACCGCCUGGGGAGUACGGUCGCAAGAUUAAAACUCAAAGGAAUUGACGGGGACCCGCACAAGCGGUGGAUGAUGUGGAUUAAUUCGAUGCAACGCGAAAAACCUUACCUACCCUUGACAUGGUCGGAAUCCUGCUGAGAG
This 632-nucleotide ribosomal RNA is filed under the name Burkholderia sp. IBa218. RNAcentral's name for it is "bacterial SSU rRNA". It matches the Rfam family "Bacterial small subunit ribosomal RNA", at positions 382 to 1007 of the family's 1533-position model. RNAcentral also lists the same sequence under 36 other names. Lineage: Bacteria; Pseudomonadati; Pseudomonadota; Betaproteobacteria; Burkholderiales; Burkholderiaceae. The record is from RNAcentral.